This 404-nucleotide ribosomal RNA is filed under the name uncultured bacterium. Its description in RNAcentral is "bacterial SSU rRNA". It matches the Rfam family "Bacterial small subunit ribosomal RNA", at positions 28 to 435 of the family's 1533-position model. The record is from RNAcentral.
AACGAACGCUGGCGGCGUGCUUAACACAUGCAAGUCGAGCGGUAAGGCCCUUUCGGGGGUACACGAGCGGCGAACGGGUGAGUAACACGUGGGUGACCUGCCCUCAGCUCUGGGAUAAGCCUGGGAAACCGGGUCUAAUACCGGAUAUGACUCCAUGACGCAUGUUGUGGGGUGGAAAGCCUUGUGCGGCUGAGGAUGGGCCCGCGGCCUAUCAGCUUGUUGGUGGGGUGANGGCCUACCAAGGCGACGACGGGUAGCCGGCCUGAGAGGGCGACCGGCCACACUGGGACUGAGACACGGCCCAGACUCCUACGGGAGGCAGCAGUGGGGAAUCUUGCGCAAUGGGCGAAAGCCUGACGCAGCGACGCCGCGUGAGGGAUGACGGCCUCGGUUGUAACGUACUU